GAAUGCUAAAAGAAUGGAAAUUUAAAAAAAAACUUUUUUAAAAAUAAAAAUUGAAUUUUUUUUAAUUUGUGCAAAAACAAUUAUACUUAUUAAAGACAAGAAGACCCUAAGAAUUUAAGAUUUUACAAUUAAAAAGUUUUUUUUUUAAAAUCUUGAUUGGGGCGAUCAAAAAAUAUUAAUAACUUUUUAAAAUUUAAAUUGAUCUAUUAUUAAUAAACUAAUGAAUUAAAUACUCUAGGGAUAACAGCGUAAUAAUUUUUGAUAGAUCUUAUUGACAAAAUAGUUUGCGACCUCGAUGUUGGAUUAGGAUUCUUUUUUAAUGAAAAAGUUAAAAAAAGAAGUUUGUUCAACUUUUAAAUUCCUACUUGAUCUGAGUUCAAACCG
Molecule: ribosomal RNA, 384 nt
Filed under: Hyalomma marginatum
Lineage: Eukaryota; Metazoa; Arthropoda; Arachnida; Ixodida; Ixodidae
Description: partial large subunit ribosomal RNA
Rfam family: Bacterial large subunit ribosomal RNA (bases 240-384)
Source: RNAcentral